UUUGAGGGGGAAGAGCGAGGACGGUACCCCUGGAAUAAGCGUCGGCUAACUACGUGCCAGCAGCCGCGGUAAGACGUAGGACGCGAGCGUUAUCCGGAUUUACUGGGCGUAAAGCGUCUGUAGGCGGAUGUGUAAGUUGGGCGUGAAAGCUCCGGGCUUAACCCGGAGAGGCCGUUCAAUACUGCAUAACUUGAGGGUGUCAGAGGGGAGCGGAAUUCCCGGUGUAGCGGUAAAAUGCGCAGAGAUCGGGAGGAACACCAGUGGCGGAGGCGGUUCCCUGGGGCACACCUGACGCUGAGAGACGAAAGCUAGGGGAGCGAACAGGAUUAGAGACCCUGGUAGUCCUAGCCCUAAACGAUGAAUGCUAGGUGUGGGAUCGAAUGGUUCCGUGCCGGAGCGAACGCGAUAAGCAUUCCGCCUGGGGAGUACGGCCGCAAGGUUAAAACUCAAACGAAUUGACGGGGCCCCGCACAAGCAGCGGAGCGUGUGGUUUAAUUCGAUGCUACACGAAGAACCUUACCUGGGUUUGACAUGUAGGUGGUAGUGAAUCGAAAGGUGAACGACCCUUCGGGGAGCCUACACAGGUGCUGCAUGGCUGUCGUCAGCUCGUGCCGUGAGGUGUCGGGUUAAGUCCCGUAACGAGCGCAACCCUUGCUCCUAGUUACAAGUGUCUAGGGGGACUGCCGGCGGAAAGCCGGAGGAAGGUGGGGAUGACGUCAAGUCAGCAUGGCCCUUAUAUCCAGGGCUACACACACGCUACAAUGGUCGGUACAAAGGGCAGCGAAACCGCGAGGCGGAGCGAAUCCGAGAAAAGCCGAUCGUAGUUCGGAUAGCAGGCUGCAACCCGCCUGCUUGAAGCUGGAGUUGCUAGUAACCGCGCGUCAGCCAUAGCGCGGUGAAUACGUUCCCGGGGCUUGUACACACCGCCCGUCACGUCAUGGGAGUCGGUAACGCCUGAAGCCGGUAGUCUAACUGGAAACAGGAGACGCUGUCGAGGGCGGGACUGGCAACUGGGACGAAG
RNAcentral lists this ribosomal RNA (1021 nucleotides) under uncultured organism. RNAcentral's name for it is "bacterial SSU rRNA". It matches the Rfam family "Bacterial small subunit ribosomal RNA", at positions 434 to 1485 of the family's 1533-position model. The record is from RNAcentral.